This 57-nucleotide ribosomal RNA is filed under the name Botrytis cinerea. RNAcentral's name for it is "partial 28S ribosomal RNA". Lineage: Eukaryota; Fungi; Ascomycota; Leotiomycetes; Helotiales; Sclerotiniaceae. The record is from RNAcentral.
UUCUAUGGUUGACCUCGGAUCAGGUAGGGAUACCCGCUGAACUUAAGCAUAUCAAUA